GCCACGGGCGACCAACACGUACCUCCGCUACGUCGCGCCCCGUCCAAUGCUCCCUGAGCGCCGGGGGCGGGCCUGUGCGGCGCGUGGCUGGAACCUGGGGAAAUCCGCGCGGGCUUGAGCCAUGGCUGAAAGUGGCCGGCCACCUCAGGCCCGGGCCCUCCUGCAGCAGUGCCUGCACGCCCGGCUGCAAGUACGCCCCGCCGAAGGGGACGCCGCGGCCCAGUGGGUGGAGGUCCAGAGAGGAUUAGUGAUCUACCUGUGCUUUUUCAAGGGAGCUGAUAAAGAGCUUCUUCCCAAAAUGGACACCUCCUUCCCCCUUCCUGGAGUCAGCUUUGGAUCCCAUCAUCCAGAGCCUUCUCUCCCUGGCCACGAUAUCUGAUGAGUGCCUUCUGUGUGCCCAACAGUGACACCAAGUGUAUUGACAAAAGCUGAAGUAAGUUGGGAGUAGAGAGAUAAGGGGACACGGGUUCGAGCCCUGUGCCGGAGCAACUAAGAUCCCACAUGCCGCGGAGCAGCUAAGCCCAUGCACCACAACUACUGAGCCUGCGCUCUAGAGCCCACGACCCACAACUACUGAAGCCCGCCCGCCUAGAGACCAUGCUCUGCAACAAGGGAACCGCAGUGAGAAGCCCGCGCACCACAACAAAAAGUAGCCCCCGCUCACCGAAACUAGAGAAAGCCUGUGCACAGCAACGAAGACCCAACACAGCCAAAAAUAAAAAUAAAUAAAAUACUAAUAAAAUACUUUUUUUUAAUUAAAAAAAUAAUAAAGUGAGGAAACUGAGAUAUGAAGCAGUUUUCUCUAGGUCAAGCCUACUAAGUGGUGGAAUUAGGAUUUGAACACAAGUCUCCAGAUUUGAAAGCUGUGUUCUUUCCAUUAAUUAUAUUACAGCUUCUUCUUUAUUGUGACUUAAAAUCUCAAUUUGAGAUUGAACAAAGUAUAAUAGUAGUUGAGAGGUGAAACAUUUCCACCUGGUUAAAAUUAAACUGGUUGUUCCUCAGAGUUCUGUCCUUGUCAUUUUCUCUCUUUAUUUUUUCUCUUUCAUUGUAUUAGCUGUCCACUCAAUGUAGAAACGUUUUGAAUCUAGUGCUCUUGUUCUCAACCCUUUUCUAAGCUGUAGUCCUCCAUUUCUCCUUGGAUGCUCUACUGUCACUUCAAAUGUGAUGUGUUGACAAUUAAACUUAUUACUUCCUCCUAAGUUAAUUCGCUUAGUCACUUGGGCUCAAAGUUUGGAGCCAUCUUUGAAUCCCUUGUAAAAUUAAUGGUUGGACUCAAUGAUACAUAAUAUCCCUUCCAGCUCUAAAAUUCUAGUGUUGUUAUUCUUGUACCACAUACUCAGUCAAAAUGAAUCACUUUCUCUGCUUCGGCCAAGAACAAAUAAUUUUACGCUCAAAUUAUUUUCCAGAGUUAUUUCAGUAUCUUAUAGAGUAUAUCCUACUCAUCCAUUCUUAUGCAUUCUUCAAAGCCCAUUUUAAAUGCCAUCUCUUUCUAUAAGCCUUUCAUGAGCCUCCCAACUGGACUUCACAGCAUUUGCUCUCUCCUUCAGGAUCUGGAAUAUCUUUGUAUCUUUCUCAGCGUAGUUUACAGUACCCUACACACAUACACACACACACACACACACACACACACACACACACACAUUCUCUCUCUCUCUCUCUCUCUCUCUCUCUCUCUCUGUGGGAUAAGGAGGGUGCCUAGAGGGAUGCUUGGCAAGGGAUGGAGCCUGAGCAGGGUGGAGAGGGCUUACAGACAGGGCAUGGGCACAGGGUUUGGGAGCAGGGAUAAGGAAAGAGAAGGAGGGGCUUGUGGUGGCUAAUGUUGGGGUUUCAGAACCUUAGUGGGAUAAGGGCAGCAUCCUCCAAAGGGAGAGAUGGCAGCAAUGGGUGAUUGCUUAAAUAUAGGAGAGGUGUUCAAACAAGUAAAUAUCUCAAAGAUAAUAGGAUCCAUCAUUCUCUCUGUAGCAGAAAGGAGUUACAAAUGUGGAAGGGAGGAAACUAGAAUAAACUGUGUGAUGCUGGAUUGGAGGUUUUACUGUGAACAUGUGGUUUUUCAACAUACAGAGUUAAAUAAAGAAAUCUAGCUAUAAAUGUGUAUAUGUGUGAGUAUACAUAUAUAGAUGCACUGUAUAUGUGUAUGAAUGUACAAAUAUUCCUUAGCUACAAACCCUAAGACAGCCUGAGCAGUGAUACCUCAGUAGUAGUGAGCAUGCCUCGUGCUUCUAAAUUCCAUUCUUAGGGACGUUCCUGGUGGCUCAGUGGUUAAGAAUUAGCCUGCCAAUUCAGGGGACAUGGGUUCGAGCCCUGAUCCGGGAAGAUCCCACGUGCUGCAGAGCAACAAAGCCCAUGCACCACAACUACUGAGCCUGCGCUCUAGAGCCUGCGAGCCACAACUACUGACCCCGUGUGCCACAACUACUGAAGCCUGCGUGCCUAGAGCCUGUGUUCCGCAACAAGAGAAGCCACCGCAAUGAGAAGCCCGUGCACCGCAAUGAAGAGUAGCCCCCGCUCGCCACAACUAGAGAAAGCCCAUGCGCAGCAACGAAGACCCAAUGCAGCCAAACAUAAAUAAAUAAAUAAACAAACUAACUAACUAAAUACCAUUCUCCACUCAAAGGAACCAGGACUCCUGGAUAAAUGGCUGCAUCCAGGUGCCAGAAAGUAAAGGAGUACUCAAAGAAUGAUGGAGGUGUGUCAAAAGGGCACAGAAUAGUAAAAUGUUAAUGAAUAAUAUGGAUGGUGGGAUAUAUGUUAUAUAAAACUCUUUCCAAUUUUCUGUAUUUAAAAAAUGUUUUACAAUAAUACAUUGUGAAAGGAUUUAAAACACACAAAGACACAGAAGCCAGCAUGAAUGGGUGAAUCCCACUGACCAAAGUUGGGACAAUUUGAACUCCAAAAUAAACAAUGAUAAAUUAUAACACAUUUAAUAAAAUAGGAAACUGAAUUCAUACUGAUAGAAAUAAAUUAAUUGAAAGUUUGAUGAGAAACAAAAAAAUGUACAUAGUUUCAAAGAAUUUCCCCCACAAAAUACUUCCUAAUUACAAAGAGGAAAAAAGUAACUACUGGAGAAGCCUGGCAGACACUACCUUAUUGAAAUAAACACCCGUAAUCAGACAUUAAAAUCAUGUGCCACCUCACAGGAUGCAAUGAGAACAGAGCAUCACUUCUCUGAGAGUCCUAUCAAAGACAUCUACCCUGAAUCUAAUCAUGAGUAAGCAUCAGACAGAUGCAAAGUGAAGGCCAUUCUGUAGAAUAAUUGGCCAGGAAUCUUCACAAGUAUCAAGGAUAUGAAAGUCAAAGAAAGACCAAGGAAGUGUUCCAGAUUGAAGGUGACUAAAGAUACAUGACAAGUAAGUACAGUGCUUGAUCCUGAACUGAAUCCUUUCAUCAUAAAGAGCAUUAUUGGGACAACUGGCAAAAUGUAAUGUAUCACAUAAAUAUUUUGAUUUUGAUAGUUAUAUUGUGAUUAUGUAACAGAG
RNA transcript from Orcinus orca (killer whale), 3476 nucleotides. It is a transcript of the gene named D-aminoacyl-tRNA deacylase 2, with no coding region annotated. The transcript is spliced from 5 exons. The record is from RefSeq and is a predicted model, not a curated record. Lineage: Eukaryota; Metazoa; Chordata; Mammalia; Artiodactyla; Delphinidae.